Long non-coding RNA from Physella acuta, 1120 nucleotides. RefSeq lists it as uncharacterized. The record is from RefSeq and is a predicted model, not a curated record. NCBI's taxonomy places the organism in Eukaryota, Metazoa, Mollusca, Gastropoda, Physidae.
UUCCAGUUUGAAAUAUCAUGCUCUACCACAUUGUCCCGUUUUGUUCACUAGUAUUUUUUAAAUUAAAUUAUGAUUAAAAACAAGAAAAUUUUAACUGUAACAUUUCACCUUCCAUGACUAGAACUAUCUGGCUAUACUUCUGUAAUAUUACUAAACCUGAUAAAGCUCAUAUUUUUCUUUUUACAGUGAUUUAUGAUGAAGAGCUGACACUUGCAUUUUUCAAAACGAUCUAUCACAUUCUUUCCAAGUCACCCCCUAAAACUCUCUUGCUCGCUAUAGAAAAACGUACUGUAUUUAGCAACAAGGAUCAGACAGUGUGCAGCCCAGCAUAUGAAGAUUUUACACAGCACCUAGCAGACAUAGUUAGUGUAGAUCAAGGUCCAGUAAGAUUUACAUCGCAGCAAAUGGAGUGCACUUUCCCACAGUACUUUCACUAUCAUAGAUCAAAGGAACUGGAAUUGUGGACAAUUAAAUCUCUGAAUGCAUUAAAGAGCUGACAAGCUAUAGAGACUAAUUCAUUACACAUGGAUUUUUACUCGUUUAUUGAGAACAGAUAUAAUGCCAGUGUCAUGACAUCACAAAGGACUUGAGGCACAGUGGCAACAGAUGGCAUAAGUACCUAUAUGAGAAUUAUCAAUCCUUCAACAAUGAAAAGGCUUAAAUUAACAAUGCCACCCUGUCAAGGAUUGGCUCAGGGUGAUCUGAUUCAAGUACUCAAAUGUGCAAAUCAUGUCCAAUGGUUCCUUGACCAAGAUGGGCAUUAGCUUUGUCAGACUAGCCAAAUCAUCUCCACGCCAGCUUGGUCCUAAAUUAUAGCAGGAACCAAACUCAUGUGCUUCCUAUGCUGUAGGUGCAUAGAGAAAGAUGAGGUAGACAAGAAACCAGAGAUCACACUGGAGGUGAAGUAAUACUAGGUGUUGGGGAGUGUACGGGCAUCACCACCAAGGCACAUCAAAUGCAGCCAUUUUGAAAUUCUAUAAAUGACACCAUACUAAAUUACUUUUUUUAAUGACUAACCAUUAUUAGAGGUUUAAGGAAUGUUAAAAAUGUUUUGAUUAUUUUUUGUUAUUUGGUGAAUGUAAUGAUUUUUGUUUUGUAUUGCUUAGUGAACGUUUUAUAU